GAUGAAGAACGCAGCGAAAUGCGAUAAGUAGUGUGAAUUGCAGAAUUCAGUGAACCAUCGAAUCUUUGAACGCACAUUGCGCCCGGCAGUAAUCUGCCGGGCAUGCCUGUCCGAGCGUCAUUUCUGCCCUCGAGCGAGUCCAGCAUCUAGGUGCUGGGCCCGCCCGGCGUUGGGGCACUACGGGAAGCCCUGUGCUGUCCCCCGUAGGCCCCGAAAUGAAGUGGCGGUCCUGCCGCGGCGCCCCCUGCGUAGUAUAACAGCUCGCUUCGGGACCCGGUGGAGGCCUGCCGUCAAACCUUACUCUCUAAGUUUGACCUCGGAUCAGGUAGGGUUACCCGCUGAACUUAAGCAUAUCAAUAAGCGGGA
This 366-nucleotide unclassified non-coding RNA is filed under the name soil metagenome. RNAcentral describes it as "partial contains 5.8S ribosomal RNA, internal transcribed spacer 2, and large subunit ribosomal RNA". The stretch from base 1 to 120 matches the Rfam family "5.8S ribosomal RNA", at positions 35 to 154 of the family's 154-position model. The record is from RNAcentral.